AGUGAACGCUGGCGGUAGGCCUAACACAUGCAAGUCGAACGGCAACGCAGUAAGAGCGUGCUCUGACUGGUGGCGGGGGGCGUACGAGGGAGGUAAACAUCGCAAUCUACUUUGUCGAGGGGGAGAACGUAGGGAAACUUCCGCUAAUACCGCAUAGGACCUACGGGUGAAAGCAAGGGAUCUUCGGACCUUGCGCGAUCUAAUGAGCCGAGGUCUGGUUGGCUAGUUGGCGGGGUAAAGGCCCAGCAAGGCGUCGAUCCGUAGCUGGUGUGAGCGGAUGAACCGCGCCAGUGGAGCUGAGCCACGGUACAGACUCCUACGGGAGGCAGCAGUGGCGAAUAGUGGACAAUGGGCGGAAGCCUGAUCCAGCCGUGCCGGGUGGGUGAAGCAGGGCCGCGUGUUGUAUAACGGCUUUGUUGGUGAAGACCGGCAGCAGGUUAAUACCCGGUUGUUCUGACGGUACCCAAAGAAUAAGCACCGGCUAACUUCGUG
RNAcentral lists this ribosomal RNA (492 nucleotides) under uncultured bacterium. Its description in RNAcentral is "partial 16S ribosomal RNA". It matches the Rfam family "Bacterial small subunit ribosomal RNA", at positions 30 to 507 of the family's 1533-position model. The record is from RNAcentral.